This 81-nucleotide non-coding RNA is filed under the name unclassified sequences. Its description in RNAcentral is "RT-18 RNA". It matches the Rfam family "RT-18 RNA". From Rfam's summary of the family: Clostridiales (Firmicutes). Nearby to self-splicing intron genes The record is from Rfam by way of RNAcentral.
UGUCGCUUGGCAAAAAUUAAGCCGAAUCUGGAUUAGUCUAGUAGCUCCUUUUGAGCGAAAAAUUAAUAGGCAAAAAAAGAU